Molecule: long non-coding RNA, 435 nt
Filed under: Olea europaea subsp. europaea
Lineage: Eukaryota; Viridiplantae; Streptophyta; Magnoliopsida; Lamiales; Oleaceae
Source: RNAcentral
UAGUUAUUAAAAUUACACAUCCGUUACAUUGUCAUGUAGAGGAAUCUGACUUGUACAAUAUCUUCUAGUAUGCCCUGUUGCACCGCACCUACCGCACUUACGAGGCUGGGGAAACUCUCCGGUAGAUGGUAUUCUAGACGUACGUGUACGUCCAGGAGUACGUGGUCCAACUGCUGGUGGCAACAAGUUAUUCAGUGGGAGAAUGUGGUCGGGCACUUCCCACUCAACUUCAUUUGGUACAGGAAAUAUUGUUUCCGCAUAUGCUGCUCUCCAAUAAUCAGUCAUGUAAUACACAUUGCAUAAGGUGUGUGGUGGUAAUCCUCUAUGCAUAGCCACUGCCACUGCAUGUGUACAUGGAAAACUCUCCAACUGAAACCGUCUACACGUGCACGUGUUAUCAUUCAAGUCCACAAUGUAUCUGAAAUUACGUGUACA